This 96-nucleotide signal recognition particle RNA is filed under the name Alphaproteobacteria bacterium. Its description in RNAcentral is "signal recognition particle sRNA small type". It matches the Rfam family "Bacterial small signal recognition particle RNA". From Rfam's summary of the family: The signal recognition particle (SRP) is a universally conserved ribonucleoprotein involved in the co-translational targeting of proteins to membranes. Archaeal SRP consists of a 7S RNA and homologues of the eukaryotic SRP19 and SRP54 proteins. In most bacteria, the SRP consists of a 4.5S RNA and the Ffh protein (a homologue of the eukaryotic SRP54 protein). The record is from RNAcentral. Lineage: Bacteria; Pseudomonadati; Pseudomonadota; Alphaproteobacteria. RNAcentral also lists the same sequence under 1 other name.
GGGAGGUCGGCGCGGGCGGGUUCCUCGCCAACCCGGUCAGGUCCGGAAGGAAGCAGCCGUAACGAGUUCUACUCGGGUCGCGUCCGGCCUCCUGCU